ACAUCACUAGAUUUAUAUAAUCUCGAAAGUAAAUAUAGGUAUAUGUGCAUUAUUUGUUACACUAUUUUAACUAUCAAAAUGGAUUUCAAUAUGAUUUGUCGACUCUGUUGUAAACAAACAGACCACUUACGUUCUAUUAUUGAGGUGAAAACAAUAAAUUUGCCAAAUGUUUUCACUGAUAUUUUGAAAUUAAAGUUUUCUGAUGAAGAUGGCCUUCCUCAAAAAAUUUGCAGGUCUUGCCUCUCUACGUUGGAUAAUAUAUAUGAAACAGUUGAAUACUUUCGCAGUAAUGACAAAAACCUACGGCUUCGGUUGAAUGAAUGGUCGGAAAUCUAUAUAAAAGAAGAAUUAAUCGAUACUGACGAGGAGCAACGAACAUUUACUCAACAAUUAGAAAAACGGCCAUUCUCAGUUAAAGCGGAAGAGCAAAAGGACGUUUCCGAAGAAAGAGUAACACAUUCAGAUAAUGAGGCAAUUUAUGAAGAAUGGUUAUCUGAAUAUGAAAAUCAACGGUGCGAUACGUUCAAUCAAAGACCAUUCCAAAACGAGGAAGUUUAUGCCGAUAUGGAUAAAAAAAAUGACACUGACGUUAGUAAGAAAAAAAAUGGAACUCGAAUUGGCCGACCUAGAACUCGCUUCGAUGAUCCAAAUAGACCACGUUUAAACGAUUUCAAAUGCUAUGUAUGCAAGAGCGAAUCAAUGGGUACACCAGAUGCAUUGCGAGCUCAUUUGGAAGUUCACUUAGAUCAAUUACCUUACACAUGCACGAUUUGCGUAGCAGAAACAAUUGUUAUUAACAGUAUAACAACGCUGAAUAUCCACAAAAGGAUGCAUGAAAAUCCGUAUAAAUGUCCCCAAUGCGAUCGAUGCUAUGCUAAUAAGCGAGCUGUUGAUGGACAUAUACAGUCAUAUCAUUCAGAAGAAAACACUCCUUCUCCUUCAAUUUGUGACAAAUGUGGCAAAGUUUGUCGGUCUUUGACAUCUUUGAAAUAUCACGAGAGGCUUCAUACAUCUGCAUGCGCAUGUGAAUUUUGUGGCAAACUUUUUGUCGAUAGACACAAACUUCGACGACAUAUUGAACGAAAGCAUGAGAAAUUGAAGAAAUAUGAAUGUUACCUCUGUCACAAAAAGUUAUGCUCUAUGGAUGCAGUGCAAGUGCAUUUUAAGACUAUACAUUCAACAAAGGUGGUAAAUUGUGAAUACUGUGGUAAAAGUACAUAACUGUUCGCUAACUGGGCGAAGAGCACUUUCCCAGUUAUCGAAAUCGGCUCGCUAACUGGGAUGUCAUCUCAAACGUAACUAAACGUUGAGGGGGAUUUCAAUGAACAGCAAGCUAACGCUGCCUCGCGACACUAAUAAAAGAUUUAAAUUUUUAAGUUGGUCGCCAGACAAAAAGUUCUAUUCGUGUUGUUACUGCUUAUGUUACUAUUAAAUCCCAAACUAGAAAAUUAACCGCGAAAGCAUCAUCCUUUAAUGUUCCCCAUUCGCAUGCCCCUCGAUCGUUUUGAUCAUUGACGUUCACUAUAAAUCGACACGUUACUGCCAAGUGGAUUCCACUUACUUUUGUGCUAAUAGAUGAAACAUUUCAUAUCUGAGUGGAAUACACUUGCGUUUCACUUCACAGCACAAAAUCAAGUGUCUCACACUUCCGUUUGCCAUGUCUUGCAUACCAAAACCAAUAUUUAUACACUCAGAUUUUAAUGUUAAAACUCGUCAAAUGUCAAAAUACGUCAAAAUAUUGUGGAUUCCAUUGAAAGUCGAUAUGGGUUGACCUGUUAAAAUGAUUGGAUAUCCAUCAGAAUUAUCCCUUCGAUAUCAUUUGAAAAAGCACGAAAAAGACCCAAAUUCAAAGUUCUCCUGCGAUUGGAAAAAUUAUUAUUCUGAAAUAGUUACUGGUGAGAAUAAACCAUCUAAGAAAUGCAAUUUAUGUGGAGCGGUUGUAAAAGCCAUUGCCCCACACAUGCGUUCCGUGCAUUUUCCUAAAGAGUACCGCUGCAAUAUAUGUGAGUCAGUAUAUAAAUCUAAGAACACCUACGACAUUCAUGUUUUGGAGCAUAAAUUUGGUAAAGCACAUCGAUGCCCGAUAUGUGACAAAGAAUUUUCUGAAAAAAAGAAUUUGAUUGCGCAUUUAAAAACUAAGAAACAUCGAGACCAUCCAUUAGCCAAAUCACUUGGCUGGUUAGAUAUGAAAAGUGAAGCUGGUAUCAACCAGCUAAAACCGGAAGAUACGGCAUGAAAAUUUGUCAAUGAAGAUGGAACAAAAUAACGGAUGAAAAUGAUAUCAAUCAUUGCUGUAUUACCAACCGUAUUCACAUUUGUACGAAAAUAUAAAAAUAUCGUUCUCA
Wyeomyia smithii (pitcher-plant mosquito) is the source of this 2345-nucleotide RNA transcript. It is a transcript of the gene named zinc finger protein 33B-like, with no coding region annotated. The transcript is spliced from 5 exons. NCBI's taxonomy places the organism in Eukaryota, Metazoa, Arthropoda, Insecta, Diptera, Culicidae. The record is from RefSeq and is a predicted model, not a curated record.